GGAACAACUAUCACUGCUCGGCCAUCCUGUGUUCAUCAGGCCAGUCAAUUUUGCAUUUUUGAGCAUGUCAAAUUUCAUAUGGUAAAUGCCCAUUGAACCAUAUUGCAAAUGCACGUGCACUUGCAAUAUGAUUGUAUAUGAAAAAAACAUCACCAAAUGGACAUGAUGAAAUCAACACAACGAGUGAUGGAAAGGAACAACUAUCACUGCCCGGCCAUCCUGUGUUCCCAUAGCGGGCAUUAAUAUCAGAAUUACCGGUAAAUGCAUUUUACAACCAUAUUUUUAUUUUUGGGUUACCAGGUGCCUAUUUUAAACAGUCCAUAAAGCACUCAGGACGGCCCCCGUGGAUAGAGGGCCGUAGUAGGGUACUCCCAUAGCGGGCAUGGACAAUAGGAGUCCCGGUAAAUGCAUUUACAACCAUAUUUUUAUUUUUGGGUUACCAGUUGCACAACAAUGCAUGUGCAUUUGCAAUAUGAUUCUAUAGUGAAAAAACAUCACCAAAUGGACAAGAUGAAAUCAACACAACGAGUGAUGGAAAGGAACAACUGUCACUGCCCGGCCAUCCUGUGUUCAUCAGGCCAGUCAAUUUUGCAUUUCUGCAGGAUUUUUGACCAUGCCAAAUUCGUGAUGGUACAUGCCCAUUGAAACAUAUUGCAAAUGCACUUGCACUUGCAAUAUGAUUCAACAGUGAA
Molecule: long non-coding RNA, 692 nt
Organism: Oncorhynchus tshawytscha (Chinook salmon)
Lineage: Eukaryota; Metazoa; Chordata; Actinopteri; Salmoniformes; Salmonidae
Source: Ensembl